This is a non-coding RNA of Sus scrofa (pig), 5360 nucleotides long. The record is from RefSeq and is a predicted model, not a curated record. NCBI's taxonomy places the organism in Eukaryota, Metazoa, Chordata, Mammalia, Artiodactyla, Suidae.
AAGACAAAAAAAAAAAAAGAAAAGAAAAGAAAAAAGAAAGUCUUCAGGCUAAAUAGAAGACCACCUUCAACGUCUGCACUGCAAAGGCCUUGGCAGGGCAUAGGAGCCCUGGCCUCCUGGCUGCCCUAACCCUCUCUGUCAAAUCAGAUACUACUCCCUUCCAGCUCCCACUCCUCUCUUCAUUCUAUAAAUGGUCCAGGGCCCCCACUCCCUCCAGCCGAGUUACAGUAUCUCAAAUCUUGAAGCAGCAGCUCUGAAUCCUCCUGUGAAACCUGUGAGCAUCAUCAUGGUCAUUUUACAGCAAGGAAACUGAGAUUCCAAAGAGAAGAAGAAACUUGUCCAAGAUCAUGCACAGCAGCCCGCCUCAGAGAUUCCAGGUGUUUCCUCACACUAAAACCCCUUCUCUAUACCAGGGAAGAGCAGCAGCCACAAUCCUUGAGGGACUAAACUUCAACCUUCUGCAGAACCUGGAAUAAGCAGUGCCAGAUCUAGGACCAUGACAUCCAAGGGGAUAAGUCUGGAAGCGGUAGAAGAUCCUGUGGGGAGAGAUGGCCUAUGUUUUUGAGCUCUUUUCUAGACAAAGAGAGAAUCCUGAGGAUUUCCUAAGUGGCAAGGGAAGCCAUGGUAGCCAUUGGUGCUGCAUCCACUGAAUAAAAGACCAAUAGGGGUAGACAGCUGGGGCCGAGAUCCCCAAACCGAGUUAUAUAGGAGCACCACUCAAGGAGUCUGUAGUAAAUGUAGGUGCCAUUCAGGGUGAGGCAGGUUCUCAAGAUGGAAGGCCCAGGAAACUUCUGACAGGGCUGGGGUGGGGGUCUAGGUUGGGUUGUGGAUCCGGAACAGACCUGGUCCAUCAGGGAGGUCUCUGGUGGGAGACAGGUAGGCGGGCACUUGCCCCUUAGGCGUGCUGCCAGGGUUAGAUGAACUGAGGGUUCUAGCAUCCAUCUGGCAAUAAUGGGAGUUUCCCUUCCUCCUUCCACAGGACAGGAAAUCUCAGGGCAGGAGCAACCUGCAGGGCUGGCAGCAUGAGAGCUGCUCAGUCAGUUGCCUGGACAACUGACCUGAGGCUCUUUUAAGAAUGUUCCAGUGCAGGCUUAUUGAGGGGAAGACUCUAACCAAGGGUAGGUGUGAUCCAGGGACUGAUGGUGACUUGCAUGGGAGUCACUCUGAGCUGUCCUUGAGCAUCCAGCCACAGUCCCAGUCACCCUUGCAGAGGGGCGCUUGCCCUGGGGCCAUGCCACUUCAGUUUGGGAGAGAGUGUCAGAUAAGUUCCUGCCCUCCAGCUUCAUCAUUCCCAGCAUCCAGAUGAAGCUGCUCUAGACCUCUCAGCUUGUCACCUCCCUUCAGCACAAGAGUCUCCAAUGCCUCCCCAGUGCCUCUAGGGCAGAGUCCACACUAGCCUGGCAUUUAUUAUCCCACCCUAGGUAGGGCGCUUGAGGCUUAAGAGAGGCCCUGUCCCCUGCCUCUGCCCUUCCCCAGUCACACCCCGCAUCCCCUGCCCCCAGAUGCCACAAGACCAUUCCCAGGGCCAUAGUGUGCCCUCUCCGCUCUGAUCUUCCAGAAGUCCCAUCUUUCUUCCACAGCUCUCCCAAGUUCCAAGGCCAAGCAAAGCCUCUACUCUCCUCUCAUGACUUCAUAGUCCUGCUUCUGUGGUGACAUCCUGGUCUUCACACAGAAGGAGCCUAAGGGAGAUGUCAAGUCUCCAGCCAGAAAGUGGGGACUCCACAUCCAACAGGCCAUGGCUUCCAACACGUCUACAGCUGCAGCCCCUCCCCAGCCUCAGGGCACAGCCAGGAAAUCCCUUGUGUGUGUCCAGCUUUCAGACAGCCCCAGUCCUCAGAGUAGCAGAGAGGGGGACAUCAGCAGCCAGGAUCCAGAGAUCUCAGACUCGAAGCCCCCUUGGGCUCCAGCAGACCUGCCCAGGGCACAGAUGGGGCCUGCAAUCCCCACCUUUCACGCCUCCUGGCUCUCUACACCCUCACAGCCCAGCGCCCUCAGCACCAGCCUCCCUGCACACCAACCCUUCUCUCUGCACCACAGCUAGAGUCCCUCACACCAUUCCCAGUGCCAAGCAUGAACACGCCCCUCACCCAAAGGCCUCUAGAAAGGAAACUCAAGAAAGCCUAAUUAUGAGCCACAGAGGGCCCAGGUGCAAUUACUGAUAAAGUCCUAUUUAGGAACAAGCAAAAAAUGGAAAACAGCCCUGCCGAAGGUGAGCCAAAAGGACCUGAAAGGGAACUCUGGACAAACUGGCAGACAGGAAGCCUGCACAGGCCAGAGCAGGCAGUCUAGGCUGAGAGGCUGGCUUGUGGGCCUCUAUUUCCUCAUUUAUAAAACAGGAAUUAAAUGCAAUAUGGCACUUUCCAGCUCUGACCUUCUCAGAUUGUAUCUAUUCAUCGAUUCCAGCUCCCAAAGCCAUGUCUGAAGCACACCUGUGUUGAUUUUCCACUCUCCCAGGAUCUACCCCCAUCCUCGGAGGGCUGAGUUGGCCAGUCCGAGAGGCACACAUAGAGAGGAGAAAGUACAGGGGCCCAAGAGUCACCACUUUUCCCUCCAGGUAAUUGGACUCUGAGGAGGAAACAUCAGAAGUGCUGAAGCUGGAACCCACAAGCUCUUCUAGGUCCCCCCAGUCCUGAUGCCCUCCUCCCCAUCCCCAAAUUUAGGGCUACCUGCAGGGAUCCUUCUUUUGUUCACAGCUUCACUACUACACUUGUAUGACCUUGGACAUCAGCUGACCUCUGACCACCUUCCUCCCAGAGGGCAGAACCGGAUUGCCUGGCGCUCUCCCAAACCUCUUCCCAUCCACUGCAUCCUUGCCUCCUUCAGGCAACCCUUUCAGCUUCUUUUGGGCAGGAAUUCGUCCACAGAAUUUGCUCUCUGAGAAGAUUCACCUGACUGCCAGAGUAACAGAAGAAAAUGUUGUAAGACAGCUACAUCGAGGCCCAGAGAGCGUGACUUGGCUGGGCAUCCAGCCUUCCAAUCCUGGCUUGUGAGAGUUGUACCUGAUGCCAUAAACCUGAUGCCAAGGCCCUGAGCUGUGCGUGUCACUGGGCCAGGCUCCUACGGGGUUCUUGCCAGAGGUCACAAAGAUGUGGGAGACAUGGCGGCAAUCUUUCCACCCCCUCCUCUGCUAACCACCUCUACUACAACCCUCCCCACCUAGUCACAGGAAGGGGCAUGCCCUCUGCAACACCAAUGGGCCAGGUAUGGCCAAUAAGAAUCCUUCCCUCGGACUGGCAUGCAGAUAGCUGAGCAGAUGCCUCCCUGCUGGGACUGCUCAAGCUCUGGUCUUGCAUGCAGAGAAGGAAGUACAGGAGGAAGAUCAAGGCCAGCCCCCAGGAGAAGCACAGCCAGGCAGAGCUGAGGGGUACAGAGUCCCUCUGUCUCUAAGGCCCUGACCCCCACGGUUCUGCCUUCAACCCCGCAAUUUAUUGGGCACCCUCCCCAGACACUGGAGCAUAAAUUCCCUCUUGGCCUUAAACUGCCCAAUGACACUUCCUUCUCAAGUCAGUUCCUUCUUUCAUAAACCAUAUCAAGCCCAUGAUUCAGCGUGGACCUGUGUGAUAUUUUGUCCUUCUCGCUCAUGUGUAUCAACUCCCCAAGGUGAGAUUCUAGCCACAGAUUUCACUGCUGCCUUCCUUGCACUCAGCACAGGGUCUCAGGCAAUGGGCCCUCUGUAGCCCAGCAAGAGUUGGUCUCUGCAGCUCUGGGACCAGAGACUCUAUCCGCCUUUGCAUCUGGCCAGCAUUUCACCGAACAGAGUACAUGAUGAGGGUUGGUCUAAACCACAGGCUCUGUGAGGCCCCUAGGAAUCAUCUGGAGAGCCCAGAAACCCUUUAGAAAUGUAGCCAUGCUCCUUGAAGCCCAGCUGGAAUCAAGGUCCAAGAAGCUCAAAUGAUGCUGUUCUGGAGAGCAGGCCCUUGGGAAUGAGACCCCAUGGGUGGAGAAAGUCUGACUCUCUGGGUGGAAAGUCCCAGAGGUAGGUUUGGGGCUGGACUGCUUUUCCCUUGAACAAUUUCAGGUACUUCUCUCCUUCCUGUCAGCAAGGAUGCUGGGACAGCAAAUGGGUGGGGGGCACAAGCCAUGCACCAGGCACCCCACUAAGUACUCCACACAUCAUCUGCCCAGAUCCUCCAGAGGACUUCCCCACAGUUGAGGAAACUCAGGCAGGAAAGCUUGAAGACUUGUCCCAGGUCGCCAGGCUAGGAAGCAGCACUCAGCCCCGGUGCGCUCUCCUGCCCCUGCCUUCCAACGGCACCGUGCCCUCCCCCACAGCCUGAGGGGAAGGGAGGUGGGGGGGGGGUGCGCCGCUGCGGUUACCAGUGCCAUUGCCUGAGAAGCUCUUGGGAAACCGGAAGGACGGGAGCUGGGAAUCUGCCACAGUCGGGGCCCCCUCCAGCCUGCCCGCAAGCGCUCCCAAGGCUGAGGGUGCUCUGUCGCUGGAGUAGUCAAAAGACAAUCUCCAGCGUCCCGCCCCCUCCCCUCCCCGACAUUCUUGCUGCCAAAUGAAAUCUGGCAGCUUCUGAAAAUAGCUCAGCGCUGCAGCAGGCGCUCUGCCCGCCCUUCAGCAGGCUGGCACACAGCUGGGGGUGGCCACUGUGGGCAGACGCUGGUACGCACCGGGCCAGGGAUGGGUGUCACACACACAGGGCAAUGGGGUGGCAUAGAGCCGACCUUUCCAUGCCUGGUGAGGCCAAGGUGGCCCUGGAGUGAGGUUGGCAUGUUUACCAAGCCUGAGGCACACUCUCCAGCAGGAAUGAAAUCACUGGUGGGUGUGAGCACGUGCCCUUGGGCCACUUUUGUCCACUCAUGUAGACAAAGAGAAACCCGGAACCAAGGGAAAAUGCCAAACUAUUUUUAUUAAUACCUGUAUGUAAAACCCAGCAUUGUUGUCCUGUCUGACGUGGCCUAGGGUUUCCCAGCCAGUGCAAGAAGGGUCAGGAAUCAGGAACCAGGCUAGGGUAUCAGGCACUUGCCAGGCCUAGAUCAGGCAUUCAGCACCCUGAGGCUGUCUGGGCAGUGUGGGGUGGAUGAGCCUGGACCAGCAUGGAAGGGGCCCUCUGCUCUGACUAGGACCAGACCCUCUAAGGAUCACACAGCAGCUCUCCGCUGCCUUGCGUCAGAUCUGGGGUAUAGAAAGAGACCCCUGAUUAACAGGGGGACUCUUGGCCCUGCCCCCAUUCAUCCACUCUCACAAAAGUGCACCAAGAGACAACCCUGGUUAUCAACCAGGACAGAAGAGUGGAUGAACUGUUAAGAAGAGGCUUUCCUGCCUGGGAUCUGGUGAGCAGGUGGGGGCAGGGUAACCGUACUGGCUUGUGUCACAGUGACAUUUUCCAAAGUAAAAAACAGUUAAAAAAUAC